RNAcentral lists this ribosomal RNA (291 nucleotides) under uncultured bacterium. RNAcentral's name for it is "partial 16S ribosomal RNA". It matches the Rfam family "Bacterial small subunit ribosomal RNA", at positions 773 to 1060 of the family's 1533-position model. The record is from RNAcentral.
GUGGAUUAGAUACCCUAGUAGUCCUGGCCGUAAACGAUGGAUACUAGGCGUAGCGGGUAUCGACCCCUGCUGUGCCGCAGCAAACGCGAUAAGUAUCCCGCCUGAGUAGUACGGCCGCAAGGUUGAAACUCAAAGGAAUUGACGGGGGCCCGCACAAGCGGUGGAACAUGUGGUUUAAUUCGAAGCAACGCGAAGAACCUUACCAGGGCUUGACAUCUGGAGAAUUUUCCGGAAACGGAGAAGUGCCCGCAAGGGAGCUUCAAGACAGGUGGUGCACGGCCGUCGUCAGCU